RNAcentral lists this ribosomal RNA (253 nucleotides) under uncultured bacterium. RNAcentral's name for it is "partial 16S ribosomal RNA". It matches the Rfam family "Bacterial small subunit ribosomal RNA", at positions 524 to 776 of the family's 1533-position model. The record is from RNAcentral.
UACAGAGGUCUCAAGCGUUGUUCGGAUUCAUUGGGCGUAAAGGGUGCGUAGGUGGCGAGGUAAGUUGGAUGUGAAAUCUCGGGGCUCAACCCCGAAACUGCAUUCAAUACUGCUUUGCUGGAGUACUGGAGAGGAGAUUGGAAUUUACGGUGUAGCAGUGAAAUGCGUAGAUAUCGUAAGGAAGACCAGUGGCGAAGGCGGAUCUCUGGACAGUUACUGACACUGAGGCACGAAGGCCAGGGGAGCAAACGGG